RNAcentral lists this unclassified non-coding RNA (240 nucleotides) under soil metagenome. Its description in RNAcentral is "partial contains 5.8S ribosomal RNA, internal transcribed spacer 2, and large subunit ribosomal RNA". The record is from RNAcentral.
AACCAUAGAAACCUGCGGAGUACCUGCGGAGGGAUCAUUAUAGUAUAUGGAAUCUCCAUUCUAUAAACCCACUCUGCGUAUCUUGUAACUGUUGCUUCCAUGGGACUUGGUUCCGCCACACCGGCUUCACGGCCGGUGAGCGCCCAUGGAAGGAGAAACAAAACUCUUCUUUGAAAUGUAGUCAGUCUGAACAAGUUUUUAUAAACGUUAAAACUUUUAACAAUGGAUCUCAGAUCGGAA